RNAcentral lists this ribosomal RNA (253 nucleotides) under uncultured bacterium. Its description in RNAcentral is "partial 16S ribosomal RNA". It matches the Rfam family "Bacterial small subunit ribosomal RNA", at positions 524 to 776 of the family's 1533-position model. The record is from RNAcentral.
UACGUAGGUGGCAAGCGUUGUUCGGAAUCACUGGGCGUAAAGCGCACGUAGGCGGCUUUUUAAGUCAGGGGUGAAAUCCUGGAGCUCAACUCCAGAACUGCCUUUGAUACUGAGAAGCUUGAGUCCGGGAGAGGUGAGUGGAACUGCGAGUGUAGAGGUGAAAUUCGUAGAUAUUCGCAAGAACACCAGUGGCGAAGGCGGCUCACUGGCCCGGUACUGACGCUGAGGUGCGAAAGCGUGGGGAGCAAACAGG